Molecule: ribosomal RNA, 464 nt
Filed under: Vreelandella stevensii
Lineage: Bacteria; Pseudomonadati; Pseudomonadota; Gammaproteobacteria; Oceanospirillales; Halomonadaceae
Description: partial 16S ribosomal RNA
Rfam family: Bacterial small subunit ribosomal RNA
Source: RNAcentral
CCUACGGGUGGCAGCAGUGGGGAAUAUUGGACAAUGGGCGAAAGCCUGAUCCAGCCAUGCCGCGUGUGUGAAGAAGGCCUUCGGGUUGUAAAGCACUUUCAGUGGGGAAGAAAGCCUUGGGGCUAAUACCCUCGAGGAAGGACAUCACCCACAGAAGAAGCACCGGCUAACUCCGUGCCAGCAGCCGCGGUAAUACGGAGGGUGCGAGCGUUAAUCGGAAUUACUGGGCGUAAAGCGCGCGUAGGCGGUCUGAUAAGCCGGUUGUGAAAGCCCCGGGCUCAACCUGGGAACGGCAUCCGGAACUGUCAGGCUAGAGGGCAGGAGAGGAAGGUAGAAUUCCCGGUGUAGCGGUGAAAUGCGUAGAGAUCGGGAGGAAUACCAGUGGCGAAGGCGGCCUUCUGGACUGACACUGACGCUGAGGUGCGAAAGCGUGGGUAGCAAACAGGAUUAGAACCCUAGUAGUC